GUGGGUGUUCUUCAGCCAGGUACAUAACUGGAUGGUGGAAGCGUGAUGCUCCUGGUUCUAGAGUUCUCGUUUUGUGCAAUGGAGGUUAAAAAGGGCAGUAUGUCAGGUGCCUCUGCUCUAGCAGGUCAAGAAGACUGGGCAGAACACCUUCUAUCUCACUUUUUCCCAAGAUCUCUCAGAGCAACAACUGAACGCUUGUCAGGCAGCUUCCAAAAGCAGGACUCAACCUUUGGGAUCUGAAACGUUGGGGCCUGACCCAGGGCAGUUAAUUGCUGCCAGUGAACGAGGAGGGCAGAGAAGAAGCUGUGGGAAUUGGCUUUGUGGAUUGCAGCCCAGAGGCAGAUCUCAGAUGGUUGUGUCUGUGCACCAAGGGCAGCUGUGAGGAAAAGCCCUGCUCCACAAAGCACCCUGUGUUUCCUGGCAUGCCAAUCUCUCCAGCUCCCAGGGAACAGCUACAAGCAGAAGAACAGCCAGGCAUGCCUCCUUGCAAGCCUCAGGUACAAGGAGGAAGAUUCAACAAUGCAGUUGGAAUGGCUUAUGCCCUCCCUGGGCAUCCAUUUCUUCAGAUUCUGGUGGAAAAACCCCAUUCCCAGUUUGACUUAGGUUGAAGCCUCCUAGGUAAGAAAGGGCUGACUCAC
Molecule: long non-coding RNA, 638 nt
Organism: Tympanuchus pallidicinctus (lesser prairie-chicken)
Lineage: Eukaryota; Metazoa; Chordata; Aves; Galliformes; Phasianidae
Exons: 3
Source: RefSeq, a predicted model, not a curated record